RNAcentral lists this ribosomal RNA (258 nucleotides) under uncultured bacterium. RNAcentral's name for it is "partial 16S ribosomal RNA". It matches the Rfam family "Bacterial small subunit ribosomal RNA", at positions 96 to 354 of the family's 1533-position model. The record is from RNAcentral.
CGGCGGACGGGUGAGUAACGCGUGGGGAACCUGCCCUAUACUGGGGGAUAACAGUUAGAAAUGACUGCUAAUACCGCAUAAGCGCACGGAGCCGCAUGGCGCUGAGUGAAAAACGAUAGUGGUAUAGGAGGGACCCGCGUCUGAUUAGGUAGUUGGUGGGGUAACGGCCCACCAAGCCGACGAUCAGUAGCCGACCUGAGAGGGUGACCGGCCACAUUGGGACUGAGACACGGCCCAAACUCCUACGGAAGGCAGCAG